Long non-coding RNA from Trachemys scripta elegans, 1888 nucleotides. RefSeq lists it as uncharacterized. The record is from RefSeq and is a predicted model, not a curated record. NCBI's taxonomy places the organism in Eukaryota, Metazoa, Chordata, Testudines, Emydidae. The transcript has 2 exons.
GGUACGCGUGCGCCCCCCCCCCCCCCCCCGUGCCGUCAGAGCCAGCCUCGCCCAUCCGUGCGCAAAGGCGGCUGUGUGCAAAGCGCGGAAGGCACUUUCUUUGCGAUGACAGGUGGUGCAGUGAAGGUGGACAAACUGCUGUGCUUGUUAAGGGCUGCGUCCAGGAACCAAUGUCCAGUGUUUCAUUAGCCCUGGGGUCGCAAUCACUGCACUGCUGCCCUUCCAAGAAGGUUGUGUCACAGGAUGUCAUUGCAGCCUACCAACACAUCCUGCCGAGCCAUCUUUUGAGUCUGCACACUUCUGGCAACCGGAGCCAGCAACAUGAAGGAGUCACUAUUUGAAGAACUUGUCUUGCUUGGGCUUACACUCCUGUUUCAGGAAACUGGCAGAACAUCCAUGAGAUGCUGGUGAACAUUUUGGCGGUAUUUUCUGACCUAUCUCAGGCACCUGUCAGAGGAGGACGAUACAGAUAUGGAAGACUUGAACUGUCUGAUGCUGUUCACAAGUCUCUUUAUAACUGCUGAUGCCCCUUCCAUAGACCAGCACUUCUGGAGCAGGACCACAAGCACAGACUGGUGGAUCACUUCAUCACUCUGGGAUGACCACCAGUGGCUCCAAAAUUUUCACACAAAGAAAGCUACAUUUCUGGAGCUUUGUGAGCAGCCUGCCCCAACCCUCCAGCUUCACGAUACAGACGGGGGGCAGCCAUACCAGUCUAGAAGUGGAUUGCCAUAACCAUCUGGAAGCUGGCUACUCCCAAACUGCUACAUGUCUGUUGCUAACUAGUUUGGUGUUGAAAAGUCAACCGUGGGUAAAGUGGUGGCGGAAGUUUCUGAGGCAGUCAGGCGUGUGACUUUCCCCAAGUUGGUGGAUAUAAAUAAUAUCCCUGAAGUAAAUGCUGGUUUUGAGAGAAUGGGGUAUCCAGACUGUGCCGAGGCCAUCAAUGGGACUCAUGCCCAUAGUUUGCCCUCCUCAAGGAGCACACACAACUGCAGAGGCUACUACAUCGUAAUGCAGGCCCUUGUGGACUACAGAGGCUGAUAUAUGGAUGCCAACAUGGCCUGCACUGGAAAAGUUCAUGAUGCCCAGGGUUUUCCUCUGAUUGGGAGUCUAACUUCAUGGACAGGUUUGGACACUGUUCUGACCAAAUGAUAUUGUCAAAUGGAGUAACGGUCCCCAUUGUUAUUCUAGGGGAAACCACCUUGCUUUGGCUUAUGAAACUAUCCUCCUUUCAGAGGCCCUGGCAAAAGAAGGUUUAAUUACACCCUCAGUAGGUAGAAUGAGUGAGCAUUUGGUGGAUUGAAAUCCCACUGGUGCUGUUUACAGAACUAUUUGUACACCAGUGUAAUCAGUGCAGUCUGCAUUAUUGUGACUUGCUGUGUGCUUCACAAUCGUUGUGAAUCCAAAGGAUGAGCCAGUUGGCCCUGAAUGGACAUAUGACAGUAAUGGUUGCUGAACCGGUACACUCAGCCAGAAGGUGCACUUAUCACAGCUGGAGCAGGAUACACACGGUCAACAGAAAUCACGGAUACUUUAUGGACUUGCCUGGACCAGUAGAGGAGGGAGAAUGGUAUGUUUAUGAGUGUAUAUGUACAGUAAUUUUACAAUAAACGAAGUACUGUCGCUGUAUGCUACAAAUGGAGUGUGUGUGAUUGUCACAAAUGGUUAAUUGUGGAUGCGAUAACUGCUUAUCCAGUGGGGUGGGGCCAGUGGUUUGUGUGACAUGAACUGUGGAUUUUCAUUAUUGAUUGAUCUGAAUGGAUGUAUUAAGAACUUGUAUUGGGAUACAACUUCCUGGUUGUGCCUUAUCCUGUCUUCAUUCUUUGAAAUACACGUUAUAUGAUGUGAUGGAAUGAUGGCAAUAAACUUUUAUAAUAAAAUAAAAGGC